RNAcentral lists this ribosomal RNA (460 nucleotides) under uncultured Methylomirabilota bacterium. RNAcentral's name for it is "bacterial SSU rRNA". It matches the Rfam family "Bacterial small subunit ribosomal RNA", at positions 977 to 1434 of the family's 1533-position model. The record is from RNAcentral. Lineage: Bacteria; Methylomirabilota (SeqCode).
GGGCUUGACAUCCCACGAACCUGCCCGAAAGGGUAGGGUGCCCGCAAGGGAGCGUGGAGACAGGUGGUGCAUGGCUGUCGUCAGCUCGUGUCGUGAGAUGUUGGGUUAAGUCCCGCAACGAGCGCAACCCUCACCCCUUGUUGCCACCGGGUCAUGCCGAGCACUCUAGGGGAACUGCCAGCGUCAAGCUGGAGGAAGGCGGGGAUGACGUCAAGUCAUCAUGCCCCUUACGCCCUGGGCGACACACGUGCUACAAUGGCUGGUACAAAGGGAUGCAAGACCGCGAGGUGGAGCUAAUCCCAAAAAACCGGUCUAAGUUCUGAUUGCAGUCUGCAACUCGACUGCAUGAAGGAGGAAUCGCUAGUAAUCGCGCACCAGCACGGCGCGGUGAAUACGUUCCCGGGCCUUGUACACACCGCCCGUCACACCACGAAAGUCGGCUGUACUCGAAGUCGCUGAG